RNAcentral lists this ribosomal RNA (370 nucleotides) under uncultured bacterium. Its description in RNAcentral is "bacterial SSU rRNA". It matches the Rfam family "Bacterial small subunit ribosomal RNA", at positions 526 to 896 of the family's 1533-position model. The record is from RNAcentral.
GUACCGGUGCGAGCGUUAAUCGGAAUUACUGGGCGUAAAGCGUGCGCAGGCGGUUCGUUAAGUCAGAUGUGAAAGCCCCGGGCUCAACCUGGGAACGGCAUUUGAAACUGGCGGGCUGGAGUGUGGCAGAGGGGGGUGGAAUUCCACGUGUAGCAGUGAAAUGCGUAGAGAUGUGGAGGAACACCGAUGGCGAAGGCAGCCCCCUGGGCCAACACUGACGCUCAGGCACGAAAGCGUGGGGAGCAAACAGGAUUAGAUACCCUGGUAGUCCACGCCCUAAACGAUGACAACUGGGUGUUGGGGAAGCGAUUCCUUGGUACCGUAGCUAACGCGUGAAGUUGUCCGCCUGGGGAGUACGGCCGCAAGGUUA